Molecule: long non-coding RNA, 4525 nt
Organism: Leucoraja erinaceus (little skate)
Lineage: Eukaryota; Metazoa; Chordata; Chondrichthyes; Rajiformes; Rajidae
Exons: 3
Source: RefSeq, a predicted model, not a curated record
AACUGCCCCAUUCGUCCUGCAGUUUGGCUCUAAGCCGAAUGAAGCAACGUUGGAUUUCUGCACCUUCGUGUCUCGUCACUGGAAAUGGCUGACCUGCAAGUUUCAAACAAGAUAGGAGGGAACUGCAGAUGCUGGUUUACACUGAAGAUAGACACAGAAUGCUGGAGUAACUCAGCGGGUCAGGCAACAUCUUUGGAGAAAAGGAACAGCCCUGGAACGGUACGUUGCCAUGUGAUAAAGUUACCAGAUGUGCCGGUGCUGCAGGCACAGCUGGAUUAACCCUCAGCCAACUUCAGUGCAAUGGAAAGGCUAUACAUGGAUCAAUGUCAGAGAAAGGGGGAAACUACCACCUGAUGCCUCCUGUCAAAAUCCUGUUACAGCUUGGCAUUUAAUACAAUCAUCCCCUCCAAGCUGGUUACCAAACUCGCAGAACUGGGUCUCUGCGCAGCCCUCUGCAAUUGGAUCCUCAACUUCCUCAUUCACAGACCACAGUCUGUUCGUAUUGGUGGAAAUGUGUCAGCCUCGAUUACAAUCAGCAUGGGAGCACCUCAAGGCUGCGUGCUGUACUCACUCUAUACUGAUGACUGUGUAGCCGGUCAUAGUGCGAACUCCAUCAUCAAGUUCGCUGACGACACCACUGUUGUGGGACGUAUCACUGAUGGGGAUGAGUCAGAUUAUAGAAGAGAGAUCGAGUGACUGUCUAUAUGGUGCCAGCACAAUAACCUGGCCCACAACACCAGCAAAACCAAGGAAUUGAUUGUGGACUUUGGAGGGAUUAGGAUGGGGACCCACAGUCCAGUUUAUUUCAACGGGUCGAUGGUUGAAAGGGUCAAGAGCUUCAAAUUCCUGGGCGUGCACAUCUCUGAAGAUUUUUCCUGGUCCGAGAACACUGAUACAAUUAUUAAGAAAGCACAUCAGCGCCUCUACUUCCUGAGAAGAUUACGGAGAGUCGGUUUGUCAAGGAAGACUCUCUCUAACUUCUACAGGUGCACAGUAGAGAGCAUGCUGACCGGUUGCAUCGUGGCUUGGUUCGGCAAUUUGAGCGCCCUGGAGAGGAAAAGACUACAAAAAGUAGUAAACACUGCCCAGUCCAUCAUCGGCUCUAACCUCCCUUCCAUCGAGGGGAUCUAUCGCAGUCGCUGCCUCAAAAAGGCUGGCAGUAUCAUCAAGAACCCACACCAUCCUGGCCACACACUCAUCUCCUUGCUCCCCAUUCAGGUAGAAGGUACAGGAGCCUGAAAACUGCAACGACCAGGUUCAGGAAUAGCUACUUCCCCACAGCCAUCAGGCUAUUAAACUUGGCUCAGACAAAAUUCUGAACAUUAAUAGCCCAUUAUCUGUUUAUUUGCACUUCAUCAGUUUAUUUAUUCAUGUGUGUAUAUAUUUAUAUAAGGGUAUGUGGACACACUGAUCUGUUCUGUAGUCAAGCCUAACAUGUUCUGUUGUGCUGAAGCAAAGCAAGAAUUUCAUUGUCCUAUCAGGGCAUGACAAUAAACUCUCUUGAAUCUUGAAAAUCAUGAGAGGAAUAGAUCGGGUAGAUGCACAGAGUCCCUUGCCCAGAGUAGGUGAAUCCAGGACCAGAGUACAUAGGUUUAAGGUGAAGGGGACAAGAUUUAAUAGGAAUUUGAGGGGCUAACUUCUUCACACAAAGGGUGGUGGGUGUGGAACGAGCUGCCAGAGGAGGUAGAUGAGGCAACAACUAUCCCAACAUUUAAGAAGCAGUUAGACAGGUACAUGGAUAGGACAGGUUUGGAGGGAUAUGGACCAAAUGCAGGCAGGUGGGAUUAGUGUAGCUGGGACAUGUUGGCCGGUGUGGGCAAGUUGGCCGGUGUGGGCAUGUUUGGCCGAAAGACUUGUUUCCCCACUUUAUCACUCUAUGACUCUAUGGUACCCAUGUUUAUUCUCUCAGUUUCAGGAUAGUGUUUAGUUUAGUAUAGAGAUAUAGCGCAGAACCAGGUUCUUUGGCUCACCGAGUCCAUGCCGACCAGCGAUCUCCGCACACUAACACCUUCCUACACACACUAGGGACAAUUUAAAAUUUUACCAAGCUCAUUAAGCUACCAACCUGUACAUCUUUGGAAUGUAGAAGGAAACCAGAGAUCCCAGAGAAAGCCCACGCAAGUCACGGGGAGAACGUACAAACUUAUUACAGACAGCACCCAUUGUCAGGAUCGAACCCGGAUCUCUGGCGCUGUAAGGCAGCAACUCUACUGCUGCACCACCGUGAUGUGAUGUUAUGUUCACAGUUUUGUCCAACAUCACUUCAUUGAUUUUUCAAAGUGAUGUAAUGUUAAUGGCAUUGUAACCAUUCCGACCGAGCAUUUUACCAGAUUCUUGCAGUGGAGUCCUAAUAAACAGCAAGGAGACACCACUGGUGACUAUGUGUGAGUCUGAAUAUACUUCUGUGUGUUUAAUUUGCUCCAUUUCCCUGCGUGCGUGUGUUUGUUUAUGUAUGGUCAUGAGAGAAAUUCAUUAUUCUGUGUAAUUAAUGGCUCCUCAUCAAAUGUGAGCCGCCAAAAUAGGACUUCAUCAGGAGAACAUUUCAAACAUUUCACAAUAAAGGCGGGCCAGUCUGAAACACAACAAAAAUGGAAUGUGGUCAAUGCAAAUGUUUAUUACUGCAUACAAGCACUGCGGAUAGAGAGAGUGAACCAGUCAAGAUCAAAGUGGUUUAACAGUCUUCCCUGCCUCUCAAUGAUUCAUUACUUUCCCGACAAUAUGUACAGUCAGAAUGAAAACCCAGAUGUACUCCACUGGCAAAUCCACUCCAGGUAUUGGAUUGAUUAGCUCCAACUUUUAUGUGUAAAUCGUGGAAAAAUUCACCUGAACCAAGUGUGCAUCACGUUAGCAAUCUUUUCCUGGUGAUCCUCUGCCCAUCUGAAGCAGACUCUUGGCUGCAUUAUCCCCGUUAGGAUGUCUGAUGUGCGUCUGGUGUGAGUCAUGCACCCAAUGCAGCCAAUUAUUGCACAAUGCCCACUUCUACCCUUUACAAGUUCAUAAGUUCUAGGAGCUAUUCGGCCCAUCAAGUCUAUUCCGUCAUUCAAUCAUAGCCGAUCGAUCUCAUUCUCCUGCCUGAUGGGGAGAAGGCAGGCACGGGUUAUUGAUAGGGGGCAAUCAGCCAUGAUCACAAUGAAUGGCGGUGCUGGCUCGGCCGAAUGGCCUCCUCCUGCACCUAUUUUCUAUGUUUCUUUGUUCUAAAUUACUUCCCUGUGUAUAUACUGCCUAUUUGUCCUGAAUUGAUCACUAGAAUCCCCAAGAUUCCUGCAUAUGUCAACCCCAGGCUCAACCGUUACUAUCGCUUAAGAGAUUUAUUUUUCCAACGAGUUUAACGUGAAAUGCUCGAUUAACUUAUUGCACCGACUUGCGUGUUUAUAGUGGUGCUCUGGUAAAUCCAUCCCCUUCCCAGCAUUGCCAAAGCGGAUGUUGCUGUAUCUUUUAUACAUCUCAGUAGCAAGAGCGACUGUACUUCAGAUUGUACUUCCAGCUGUUUCUGACAGCCGUUUAUUGCCACAUGAACUCCCAAAAGAUUCAUCCGUUGAAACAAGCCACCCCACCUCCUCCUCGCUGCGGUAAUUGAUAUUCUGCGAUAAAAGGUGGAAGGACUUAGCAGCCCGACCUUUUUUUUCGUUGAACAUUCUGCAAUUUGCUCUUUUGUCCUCCCCGCAGUCUAAUUAUCAACCCCCGAUCCAAUUCUUGGGGAAAAUGAACUAUUGGCCACCCUCACAAUCCCGAAAAAGUGUGUGGUCAUCUGAUUUAAUUUGCCUUGUGAAAUAGAGGUGCUUAGUGGCGAUGCCUCCCAGACAGUGGUGAAGACAGCCGGCUACCUUUUGAUGGUUGUUUGAAAGCCCUUUGGAGCCUUGCAGCUUUCCGCUCCAGAGCGUGCAGGCACCACAUGUUUAUAUAGCUGGGCUUUCUAAAUCGGAAGCUCAGAAAACCUUUUAAAUCCUAAUUCAAUUAAAGAAUGUGGAUUUCUACACCUGCACGUGCUGGGCACACAAUUAGUGUUCACGAUAUGUAUUCAAGAGAGAGUUAGGUAUAGCUCAUAUACGGUGUAACUCGUAUAGCUCAGAGGGCUAACGGAAUCAAAGGAUGUGGGGAGAAAGCAGGAAUGGGGUACUGAUUGUGGAUGAUCAGCCAUGAUCAUAUUGAAUGGCGGUGCUGGCUCGACGGACCGAAUGUCCUACUCCAGCACCUAUUUUCUAUGUUUCUAUGAUUCUAGUGUUAAGAGCCUGUCCCACGAGCAUGCGACUCCAUGCGACAAGCGCGACCUAACGUGGUCGCUUGAGCCGUAUGUAGUUGUGCGGAGCUGGUCCCGACAUCUGAAAAACUGACUGUGUUAAAAAAUUCCGCGCGGCAACAACGCCGUACGCACCGCCUCGACGGGCAUGCGCAGCGUCUCGACACCAUACGCAUGUCUUGACGCUGUAUGUCACGUGCGAACUUCCCGCGGACUUCGCUCGAACUUCACGUCACUCACUCGACCUCCGCGCGGCCCCCGCUUCCAGUUUGGUCGCGCUCGCCGCAU